CCCGGCUCACUCGAUAAGGGCUACAGCACAAUGAAGCAUCUGGAGUCUUACCUAACUCGUGACAUCUUCAAAAAACUAUCUGACUUCCGAGGACCGAGGCUAACUUACAGCUAAAAGUGAGUGGAACAGCUUCUGCUGAGAGUUCCACUAUGUACCUGGUAGCUGACUGUGUCCAGCAUCGGACGGACUAUGAGUCCACAUGAGGAGCACAUUCUUCCUACAAAUCAAAGCUGUGCUUCAACAUGUGCAGAGGAAAACAGCUAAAAUCAGCCCUUACCUGGGUUAUGAAAAGUAUGACUGAUUUUCUCUUCCAGAACACAUAAGUGUUGGAAAAUUUAAAUUGCUGAGGAAAAACAGUGUGUUUAAACAAGCUUGUAUUUAACUUCAAGUAUUCAAGGUAGUUCCUGCUUGAACAGUGUGUCCCUGUGUAAAACAAUACAGCUGACGCCAGUGAUUUCUGCCUUGGGUACGCUUAUAUGUUAGGUAUGGAAAACUUUUCUUUAAAAUUCUAAAAAUGCCAUUAUUUUAAGGAGAUGCUCUUUGAGGGACAUCCUGAAAAUCAGCUGAAAGUUUUGAGAGUCUCU
Microtus oregoni (creeping vole) is the source of this 584-nucleotide long non-coding RNA. RefSeq lists it as uncharacterized. Lineage: Eukaryota; Metazoa; Chordata; Mammalia; Rodentia; Cricetidae. The transcript is spliced from 3 exons. The record is from RefSeq and is a predicted model, not a curated record.